This 82-nucleotide transfer RNA is filed under the name Gammaproteobacteria bacterium. RNAcentral's name for it is "tRNA-Thr". It matches the Rfam family "tRNA". Rfam says of the family: Transfer RNA (tRNA) molecules are approximately 80 nucleotides in length. Their secondary structure includes four short double-helical elements and three loops (D, anti-codon, and T loops). Lineage: Bacteria; Pseudomonadati; Pseudomonadota; Gammaproteobacteria. The record is from RNAcentral.
GCUGCUAUAGCUCAGCCGUGGUAGAGCAGCUGGCUUGUAAUCAGCAGGUCCCCCGGGUUAAGAGUGACUCUUGGUGGCGGCG